CCUUAGUCGUUCCCGGCUCGAAAAUACUGUAAUCAAUUCUAAACGACGAGAUUUAUUUCAGUCUCAUCGCGAAAUCUAGAUCCUUACGUAUGAUGGUUCAUGCGUUGUGCGCUGGACGGAGCAAAUAUAAUUUUGCAGCGAUUCCUGAUAAAAAAAAAGAAGUUUUGAUACUUUGUGCUGGACGAGAAGAGUUGGUGUAAUUUUUCAGUGAAAUGAUGGGUCGAUUCGUAAAUGAUCUGGUGCAGGCUGCUGCGGAGUGUGACAAGUGCGACAGUGCGGUCAGCCAGUGUGUCAGGUCGUCUGCCAUUGGUCCGUUUCGCGCGGAUAUUUUCAUCUGCGCGGGAUCGUUGACCGUUACGGGCAGGAGAUGCCGAUUAAAACCGAGAACAGGGAGAAAGGACACCACGGGGUCGUCGACUCGUCCUUCGCGAUUCGAGGGAUGUGGCCACGAUGCGGAUUGGAUACAGGGGAUCCUCGUUUAUCUUUUACCUGAACCGUGGUGGAUACUGGGAACAGUAGAACCUCGUUUAUAGUCAUCUAGUUGAACUCAUGGCUGAGCCUCUAUUACCUGAACCGUGGUUGAACCUGGAGGUUUAUGGUGGAGAGCUCACGAAGAGGACAGCUCUAUUAUCCUACUCAGCAUAUUAGGUGCUUAGGAAUACCUGGAGUUAAA
Hylaeus volcanicus is the source of this 673-nucleotide RNA transcript. RefSeq lists it as uncharacterized. NCBI's taxonomy places the organism in Eukaryota, Metazoa, Arthropoda, Insecta, Hymenoptera, Colletidae. The transcript is spliced from 4 exons. The record is from RefSeq and is a predicted model, not a curated record.